RNAcentral lists this ribosomal RNA (540 nucleotides) under Indosylvirana flavescens (yellowish golden-backed frog). RNAcentral's name for it is "Hylarana flavescens (yellowish golden-backed frog) partial 16S ribosomal RNA". It matches the Rfam family "Bacterial large subunit ribosomal RNA", at positions 1845 to 2599 of the family's 2925-position model. Lineage: Eukaryota; Metazoa; Chordata; Amphibia; Anura; Ranidae. The record is from RNAcentral.
AUAAGAGGUCCAGCCUGCCCAGUGACAAAAUUCAACGGCCGCGGUACCCUAACCGUGCAAAGGUAGCAUAAUCACUUGUCCCCUAAAUAGGGACUAGCAUCAACGGCACCACGAGGGCUGUACUGUCUCUUUUCUCUAAUCAGUGAAACUGAUCUCCCCGUGAAAAAGCGGGCAUAGACCUAUAAGACGAGAAGACCCCAUGGAGCUUUAAGUAACGUUUUCACCCCCGACUCUACUACACCAACUAAAUAUAGCAGGCAUGAUUACUAACCUUAGGUUGGGAGGACCGCGGAGUAUAACUAAACCUCCACAACAAAAAGGUUCCACCUUUAUCUACGAGUCACAACUCUAAGAAUUAAAAUAUUAAUGUCCAAUGACCCGACAAUUCGAUCAACGAACCAAGUUACCCUGGGGAUAACAGCACAAUCUGCUUAAAGAGCCCAUAUCGACAAGCAGGUUUAUGACCUCGAUGUUGGAUCAGGGUAUCCCAGUGGUGCAGCCGCUACUAUAGGUUUGUUUGUUCAACAAUUAAAACCCUAC